UCAGCUCGUGUCGUGAGAUGUUGGGUUAAGUCCCGCAACGAGCGCAACCCUUGUCAUUAGUUGCUACGAAAGGUCACUCUAAUGAGACUGCCGGUGACAAACCGGAGGAAGGUGGGGAUGACGUCAAGUCCUCAUGGCCCUUAUCGGUAGGGCUUCACACGUCAUACAAUGGUCGGGACAGAGCGUUGCAAAACCGCGAGGGGCAGCCAAUCCCAGAAACCCGGUCGUAGU
Molecule: ribosomal RNA, 231 nt
Filed under: Bordetella holmesii
Lineage: Bacteria; Pseudomonadati; Pseudomonadota; Betaproteobacteria; Burkholderiales; Alcaligenaceae
Description: partial 16S ribosomal RNA
Rfam family: Bacterial small subunit ribosomal RNA
Source: RNAcentral